UUUAUGUCAUCUAUUGCCAAUCUUACACAUGCAAGUAUCUGCACACCCGUGAAAACGCCCUUAACCCCUUGAUCAAGGAAAAGGAGCUGGUAUCAGGCUCAACUUUAAGCCCACAACACCUAGCCACGCCACGCCCGCAAGGGUAUUCAGCAGUGAUAAACCUUGUUUAUAAGCGCAAGCUCGAAUCAGUUACGGCAAAGAGGGCCGGCAAAUCCGGUGCCAGCCGCCGCGGCUACACCGUUAGGCCCAAGUUGACACACGCCGGCGUUAAGCGUGAUUAGAGUGAUUACACUGAUUAGAGUUAAACCCAAACUUAGUCGUGAUACACUUGUUCCCGGGAAACCCAAAAACGAAAGUUACUCUAACCAAUCCACUUGACCCCACGACAGCUAGGACACAAACUGGGAUUAGGUACCCCACUAUGCCUAGCCGUAAAAUAUAUACUCACCCAACAAAUCGCCAGGGAAUUACGAGCCCAAGCUUAAAACCCAAAGGACUUGACGGUGUCCCACCCACCUAGAGGAGCCUGUUCUAUAAUCGAUUCCCCCCGAUAAACCUCACCACUUCUGGCCAACUCAGCCUGUAUACCUCCGUCGUAAGCUUACCAUGUGAACGAAACCAGUGAGCCAAAAGAUCCAACAUCAAUACGUCAGGUCAAGGUGCAGCUAACGAACUGGGAAGAAAUGGGCUACAAUUUCUACCAUAGAACAAACGAAAGGCUACAUGAAACAUAGUCACUGAAGGCGGAUUUAGCAGUAAAAAGAAAAUAGAGAGUUCUUUUUAACAAGGCGCUGGGACGCGUACACACCGCCCGUCACCCUCUUCGAAUGCCAAGCUUAUGUAAAUAACCCCACACAGCACCUUAGAAGAGGCAAGUCGUAACACGGUAAGCGUACUGGAAAGUGCGCUUGGA
Molecule: non-coding RNA, 913 nt
Filed under: Chiasmocleis carvalhoi (central humming frog)
Lineage: Eukaryota; Metazoa; Chordata; Amphibia; Anura; Microhylidae
Description: partial 12S ribosomal RNA
Rfam family: Bacterial small subunit ribosomal RNA
Source: RNAcentral